GCACCGGGGAGGCAGCUGGGUCAGGGAUGGGAGAAACAGGUGGACAAGGCACUCGGAUGGAAAGAACCGGAGAGGCAGGCGGGGCAGGUAUCAGAAAGUCCGACACUAGGUUGACAGUUGGGGUAGGUACCUGAAGGUCAGACACUAGGUUGACAGUUGGGGUAGGUACCUGAAGGUCAGACACUGGUCUGGCAGUUGGGGUAGGUACCUGAAGGUCAGAUACUGGUCUGGCAGUUGGGGUAGGUACCUGAAGGUCAGAUGCUGGGCUGACAGUUGGGGUAGGUACCUGAAGGUCAGACACUGGUCUGGCAGUUGGGGUAGGUACCUGAAGGUCAGAUACUGGUCUGGCACUUGGGGUAGGUACCUGAAGGUCAGACACUGGGCUGAUAGUUG
RNAcentral lists this long non-coding RNA (393 nucleotides) under Salmo salar (Atlantic salmon). RNAcentral describes it as "lncRNA (ENSSSAG00000104808.1)". Lineage: Eukaryota; Metazoa; Chordata; Actinopteri; Salmoniformes; Salmonidae. The record is from RNAcentral.